Molecule: ribosomal RNA, 253 nt
Filed under: uncultured bacterium
Lineage: Bacteria
Description: partial 16S ribosomal RNA
Rfam family: Bacterial small subunit ribosomal RNA
Source: RNAcentral
UACGAAGGGGGCUAGCGUUGCUCGGAAUCACUGGGCGUAAAGGGCGCGUAGGCGGGUCGUUAAGUCAGGGGUGAAAUCCUGGAGCUCAACUCCAGAACUGCCUUUGAUACUGAAGAUCUUGAGUUCGGGAGAGGUGAGUGGAACUGCGAGUGUAGAGGUGAAAUUCGUAGAUAUUCGCAAGAACACCAGUGGCGAAGGCGGCUCACUGGCCCGGUACUGACGCUGAGGUGCGAAAGCGUGGGGAGCAAACAGG